RNAcentral lists this long non-coding RNA (2584 nucleotides) under Homo sapiens (human). Its description in RNAcentral is "HSALNT0227568". The record is from RNAcentral. Lineage: Eukaryota; Metazoa; Chordata; Mammalia; Primates; Hominidae.
AUUUAUAUAUGUGAAUUACUAGAAACGUUUCGAUUUUAGGAUUAGAUAUUUUGCAUUUAUACAUUUGUCAGCCUACUGGACUGUAAGUUCAUUGAGGGUAAGAAGAAAAAGACCAUGAUAACCCCUUCUGGGAAUAUCAGUGCCUACGAAAACAUCUGUUUCUCAGUAAAUGUUGGGUAUCGAUGCUGAGCAAUGCUGAAACAUAUGCAUGAGCAUUGUUACUCCAGUACUGAGAGCCAAAGAUGCCAUGGUGCACUCUAUCAUUUUAGAAAGACCACAGACAAUUAGAUGGAAAAGGAAGGCAACAUCUUGCUAGGAUCUUGUGUAUGCUUCCAGGCAGAUGAACAGCCUUUUUCCUAGGGAAAUGCAUGGCAGGCUUCAUGUAAGAGGUUCCCUCAAUAACCAAACACUCCAUUCAAAGGUUAUAUUUACACAGCUCAUUAGGAAAAUUUUUUAUACUUUUGACACUCAUUAGACUCAUAAUCGUCCACUGAAGCUACUGUGUAACAAGAGAUAAACACUCCAUUCUAGAGGAUGAAUAAUUAGGUACUGCUCAGCACUGUGCUCUUUACACGUCUAAUUUUAGAGCAUAAUUAAUCCUGCUGAAGCUGCAUACGAUAAGUGAAAUAUUUAUGCAGCUGUGUUAAUUCAUGUAUUUACUCCUAGAGAGACAUUCAGAAUUGGUCAUGGCUUUCCGGGAAGAUCAUCUGGAGACACCCCCUGGACCAAUGGCAUUUUCUCUCCCAAGUCUUAUGCCUCCCGAUGGCCUCAAGAGAUGAAGCUGAAUAGAGACAUUUCCCAAACCCAAGUCUGACCAGGAAGGCAAUGAGCCAGAACAGAAAAUAUCGAUGAGAACCUAGAUGUUCUAUCAAACCAAACCCUUGCCAGGAAGAGGAACACAUUAGCACUUGAGGUCAGUUGGCAUGUUUGGGCAACUGUGGAACAGGGAACACAAUUCAGAUUUAUCUUCACCAGCUCCAUGAGUGAAGCCCGGUCAUGGGACCUCUCUGAGCUUCAGUAUUCUCAUCUGUAAGAUGGGAAAUAAAUAAUAACUUAUUACAGGGCUGGCUGUUGGAUGGAUUAAAAUGGAAGUGAAGGUGUUUUGCUUGUAAUUGCAGAUGCUGGUGGGAUUUAGGAGAUUAUCUGGCAGUGGUGGUAUCAUUAUGCAGAGAAGCAGUGGAGGUGUGGAUCACCACCGGGUACCCAUCGGGGAAGGGCAUUCAUGAUCCCCAGAAAUGGCACCACUGAGGCAUGACAAGCUUUGAAAUUGUUUACUUGGGCAAGAGACACUCAACCUAUACAGGGACUACCUGCCAUCAGCACAGAAUGGUCUAAAACUGGCUUUGGGAAAAUGGCCUAGAAUCACAUUUUGAUUCUGGGUUUGUGAAUACAAACUCUAAAGUCAGAGUUAUACCAACAUUGAUGAAUUUUCACAAAGGAAGCAUUUUUCAAAGCAAACUCCCUUAAGCUAAUUUAAUUCCUCGAUCGAUGUCUUGCAUAGCGUAGUUAAAUUGUUUCCAACUUUUUUGGAAACAUUUUUACUGGGGUCAAUUCUUUUGUGUUUAAAUUUUAUAAAUAUUUGCUUCAUUGAUCAGGAUUUGGACCACAACAAAUUUUACUAAUUUAUAACUUCUGCCAUUUUGAGUUUUCUUUUGUGGUUAUUAUUUCCACCAAGUCAAGUCCAUUUCUCCUGGGUCAAAAUUGUACAGAGAUCCAAAAUUAGCUAAGAAGAUUUGAGUCAUCUAUGGAUUUUUAGUCAAUACCAAAUUUCACCCUGUGUGCUUUCAGCUCUUGUCAGUUUAUUUUGUGUGGCUUAUUUUUUUUACCAAUAAUAUUCACUGUGAAUUGGGCAAAAAAGAUGGAUGGUUAAUAUUUAUUUUUUUAGCUGAUAAUAAAUCCUGAGUGAUUUUGUAAGACAGAGGCAGAGAGAAGCAGAGAAGGGGAGAGGAUAGAAGAGAGGAAGAGAACUAGGGAGGAGGAAGAGAUCCAGAUGGAAGGAGGUACCAAGCAAAACAUGAAGACGGAGACAGAAAGAGAGAAAAACGAUGAGAAAGAGAAAGUGAGGAAGAGAAACAGAGAAGGAGAAAGAGAUGUUAGUAAGGUACAGAGAGGGAGAGAAUAAAAAGUGAGAUAUAUUGCAAGAAACUAAGAGAAAAAAGGGGGGAAAGAAAGAGAGAAAAAGAGGAUAGAAGAAGGUAACGGGGAAGGAGUGAGGACAGUGAUAUGGUUUGUCUGUGUGCCCACCCAAAUCUCAUCUUGAAUUGUAGCUCUCAUAAUUCCCACCUGUUGUGGGAGGGACCCAGUGGGGGAUAAAUGAAUCAUGGGGCCAGUUUCCCCCAUAAGGUUCUUGUGGUAGUGAAUAAGUCUCAUGAGAUAUGAUUGUUUUAGAAGAGUUUUCCUCUUUUACUUGGUUCUCAUUCUCUCUUGCCUGCCACCAUGUAAGACAUGCCUUUCACCUUCCACCAUGAUUGUGAGGCCUCCCCAGCCACAUGGAACUUUGAGUCCAUUAAACAUCUUUUUCCUUAUAAAUUAUCCAGUAUCGGGUAUGUCUUUAUCAGCAGUGUGAAAAUGAACUAACAGAGAG